RNAcentral lists this ribosomal RNA (254 nucleotides) under uncultured bacterium. RNAcentral describes it as "partial 16S ribosomal RNA". It matches the Rfam family "Bacterial small subunit ribosomal RNA", at positions 524 to 776 of the family's 1533-position model. The record is from RNAcentral.
UACGUAGGGCGCAAGCGUUGUCCGGAAUUAUUGGGCGUAAAGAGCUCGUAGGCGGUUCGAUAAGUCGGACGUGAAAUCUCCACGCUCAACGUGGAGGGGCCGUUCGAUACUGUCGUGACUCGAGUCCGGUAGGGGAGUGUGGAAUUCCCGGUGUAGCGGUGAAAUGCGCAGAGAUCGGGAGGAACACCCGUAGCGAAGGCGGCACUCUGGGCCGGUACUGACGCUGAGGAGCGAAAGCGUGGGGAGCAAACAGG